This 506-nucleotide ribosomal RNA is filed under the name uncultured bacterium. RNAcentral describes it as "bacterial SSU rRNA". It matches the Rfam family "Bacterial small subunit ribosomal RNA", at positions 15 to 518 of the family's 1533-position model. The record is from RNAcentral.
GAUCUAGCUCAGGAUGAACGCUGGCGGCGUGCCUAAUACAUGCAAGUCGAACGAGGGUGCUUGCACCCUAGUGGCGAACGGGUGAGUAACACGUAGGUAACCUGCCCUUAAGCUUGGGAUACCCAGAGGAAACUUUGGCUAAUACCGGAUAACAACAGAGGAGGCAUCUCCUUUGCUUGAAAGGCCCUUUCGGGUCACUUAAGGAUGGACCUGCGGCGCAUUAGCUAGUUGGUGAGAUAACAGCCCACCAAGGCGAGGAUGCGUAGCCGAACUGAGAGGUUGAUCGGCCACAUUGGAACUGAGACACGGUCCAAACUCCUACGGGAGGCAGCAGUAAGGAGUUUUCGGCAAUGGGGGAAACCCUGACCGAGCAACGCCGCGUGAGUGAUGACGGCCCUAUGGGUUGUAAAGCUCUUUUAUAAGGGACGAAUGGUAGUGCUAGGAAAUGAGCACUAUUUGACGGUACCUUUUGAAUAAGCCACGGCUAACUACGUGCCAGCCGCCGC